AAUGGGUUGCUUGGUGGUAGACUGAAACUGUAGACGCUGGCUUAUGGAAAUAAUGAGCAAUGGCAGUUCACAAAUGGCGAGAAGUGGCCGGCUUCUGGGAUAAUGAGCAAUGGCUGGCCGAUUGAUGGUCGGCCAACUAAGUGGUGAAGUCCGACUGGGGUGCAAGUCGGCGACGGUGACGGGUAGGAGGGAACGGGCGACUGGACAUCGUGGGUAUUGACGGGGUGAGCUGCUGGUCGUGGGGAGUGACAGGAUGAGUUAGGGCUCGGGUUGGGAAAUUGAUUUGGGUAGUGAGAUAGGGGUUGGGUUGGGCCGGCGAUUGGUGUAAUGGGCUAAUGUGGGUGUGGGCUGGGUAAUUGGUUUGUAUGGUAAUUGGGUCUUAUGGGCUUGGAGUAUAAGUAGAGUUGGAAUAAUGAAUCAAUGGGCUGCUGUAAUUGGGUUAGGGAUAUGGGCUUG
Molecule: long non-coding RNA, 456 nt
Filed under: Olea europaea (common olive)
Lineage: Eukaryota; Viridiplantae; Streptophyta; Magnoliopsida; Lamiales; Oleaceae
Description: long non-coding RNA (OEUR_LNC009508)
Source: RNAcentral